RNAcentral lists this ribosomal RNA (369 nucleotides) under uncultured bacterium. RNAcentral describes it as "bacterial SSU rRNA". It matches the Rfam family "Bacterial small subunit ribosomal RNA", at positions 29 to 414 of the family's 1533-position model. The record is from RNAcentral.
AGCGAACGUUAGCGGCACGCCUAACACAUGCAAGUCGCACGAGAAAGGGAGCAAUCCUGAGUAGAGUGGCGCACGGGUGCGUAACACGUAGGAACGUACCCUUUGGUUCGGAACAACUCUGGGAAACUGGAGCUAAUACCGGAUACGCCCUGAUGGGGAAAGGUUUAUCUGCCGAAGGAUCGGCCCGCGUCUGAUUAGCUAGUUGGUGGGGUAACGGCCCGACCAAGGCGACGAUCAGUAGCUGGUCUGAGAGGAUGAUCAGCCGCACUGGGACUGAGACACGGCCCAGACUCCUACGGGAGGCAGCAGUGGGGAAUAUUGGACAAUGGGCGCAAGCCUGAUCCAGCCAUGCCGCGUGAGUGAUGAAGG